CAAAUCAGGUAGGACUACCCGCUGAACUUAAGCAUAUCAAUAAGCGGAGGAAAAGAAACUAACAAGGAUUCCCCUAGUAACUGCGAGUGAAGCGGGAAAAGCUCAAAUUUAAAAUCUGGCGGUCUUUGGCUGUCCGAGUUGUAAUCUAGAGAAGUGUUAUCCGCGCUGGACCGUGUACAAGUCUCCUGGAAUGGAGCGUCAUAGAGGGUGAGAAUCCCGUCUUUGACACGGACUGCCAGGGCUUUGUGAUGCGCUCUCAAAGAGUCGAGUUGUUUGGGAAUGCAGCUCAAAAUGGGUGGUAAAUUCCAUCUAAAGCUAAAUAUUGGCGAGAGACCGAUAGCGAACAAGUACCGUGAGGGAAAGAUGAAAAGAACUUUGGAAAGAGAGUUAAACAGUACGUGAAAUUGCUGAAAGGGAAACGCUUGAAGUCAGUCGCAUUGUGUGGGAAUCAACCUUGCUUUUGUUGGGUGUAUUUUCCAUAUGAUGGGUCAGCAUCAAUUUUGACCGUUGGAUAAAGUUCAAGGGAAUGUGGCAUCCUCGGAUGUGUUAUAGCCCUUGGUCGUAUACAACGAUUGGGAUUGAGGAACUCAGCACGCCGAAAGGCCGGGUCUUGUACCACGUUCGUGCUUAGGAUGCUGGCAUAAUGGCUUUAAUCGACCCGUCUUGAAACACGGACCAAGGAGUCUAACAUGCCUGCGAGUAUUUGGGUGAAAAACCCGAGUGCGUAAUGAAAGUGAAAGUUGAGAUCCCUGUCAUGGGGAGCAUCGACGCCCGGACCAGACCUUUUGUGACGGAUCUGCGGUAGAGCAUGUAUGUUGGGACCCGAAAGAUGGUGAACUAUGCCUGAAUAGGGUGAAGCCAGAGGAAACUCUGGUGGAGGCUCGUAGCGAUUCUGACGUGCAAAUCGAUCGUCAAAUUUGGGUAUAGGGUCGAAAGACUAAUCGAACCAUCUAGUAGCUGGU
Molecule: ribosomal RNA, 962 nt
Filed under: Hypholoma sp. X-38
Lineage: Eukaryota; Fungi; Basidiomycota; Agaricomycetes; Agaricales; Strophariaceae
Description: eukaryotic LSU rRNA
Rfam family: Eukaryotic large subunit ribosomal RNA
Source: RNAcentral